This 467-nucleotide ribosomal RNA is filed under the name uncultured bacterium. RNAcentral's name for it is "partial 16S ribosomal RNA". It matches the Rfam family "Bacterial small subunit ribosomal RNA", at positions 28 to 507 of the family's 1533-position model. The record is from RNAcentral.
GAUGAACGCUGGCGGCGUGCUUAACACAUGCAAGUCGAACGGAAAGGCCCAAGCUUGCUUGGGUACUCGAGUGGCGAACGGGUGAGUAACACGUGGGUGAUCUGCCCUGCACUUCGGGAUAAGCCUGGGAAACUGGGUCUAAUACCGGAUAGGACCACAUUUUGGAUGGUGUGGUGGAAAGUUUUUCGGUGUGGGAUGAGCUCGCAGCCUAUCAGCCUGUUGGUGGGGUAAUGGCCUACCAAGGCGUCGACGGGUAGCCGGCCUGAGAGGGUGUACGGCCACAUGGGGCCGGAGAGACGGCCCAGACUCCUACGGGAGGCAGCAGUGGGGAAUAUUGCACAAUGGGCGCAAGCCUGAUGCAGCGACGCCGCGUGGGGGAUGACGGCCUUCGGGUUGUAAACUCCUUUCGCUAGGGACGAAGCGUUUUUGUGACGGUACCUGGAGAAGAAGCACCGGCUAACUACGUG